This is a non-coding RNA of Mycena capillaripes, 100 nucleotides long. The record is from the annotation of a GenBank genome assembly. Lineage: Eukaryota; Fungi; Basidiomycota; Agaricomycetes; Agaricales; Mycenaceae.
GUCCUCGUGGAGCAUGAUAGCUCGCUCCCGCUAGUUGAGGACUGUAGCUGUCGGUAGAUUGUAUCGGGGAAAGUCGGUGGUUCGAUUCCACCCGAGGACA